RNAcentral lists this ribosomal RNA (253 nucleotides) under uncultured bacterium. RNAcentral's name for it is "partial 16S ribosomal RNA". It matches the Rfam family "Bacterial small subunit ribosomal RNA", at positions 524 to 776 of the family's 1533-position model. The record is from RNAcentral.
UACGUAGGUGGCAAGCGUUAUCCGGAAUUAUUGGGCGUAAAGCGCGCGUAGGCGGUUUCUUAAGUCUGAUGUGAAAGCCCACGGCUCAACCGUGGAGGGUCAUUGGAAACUGGGAGGCUUGAGUGCAGAAGAGGAAAGUGGAAUUCCAUGUGUAGCGGUGAAAUGCGCAGAGAUAUGGAGGAACACCAGUGGCGAAGGCGACUUUCUGGUCUGUAACUGACGCUGAUGUGCGAAAGCGUGGGGAUCAAACAGG